This 301-nucleotide ribosomal RNA is filed under the name uncultured bacterium. RNAcentral describes it as "partial 16S ribosomal RNA". It matches the Rfam family "Bacterial small subunit ribosomal RNA", at positions 509 to 808 of the family's 1533-position model. The record is from RNAcentral.
CAGUAGCCGCGUGAAUACAGAGGGUGCGAGCGUUAAUCGGAUUUACUGGGCGUAAAGCGUGCGUAGGCGGCUUCUUAAGUCGGAUGUGAAAUCCCUGAGCUUAACUUAGGAAUUGCAUUCGAUACUGGGAAGCUAGAGUAUGGGAGAGGAUGGUAGAAUUCCAGGUGUAGCGGUGAAAUGCGUAGAGAUCUGGAGGAAUACCGAUGGCGAAGGCAGCCAUCUGGCCUAAUACUGACGCUGAGGUACGAAAGCAUGGGGAGCAAACAGGAUUAGAUACCCCGGUAGUCCCUGUCUCUUAACA